This is a long non-coding RNA of Vespa mandarinia (Asian giant hornet), 2812 nucleotides long. NCBI's taxonomy places the organism in Eukaryota, Metazoa, Arthropoda, Insecta, Hymenoptera, Vespidae. The record is from RefSeq and is a predicted model, not a curated record.
CGAAACAAGACCCUGGUAUGCCCAGAGGCUGAUGGAUUAGUACCACGAAAGCUUUCUUUGAUUGCCACUUACGUAGCAAUACACUUAUAUAUACAUAUACCGUCAUGGCACAUAUAUAUAUAAUGUGUGUGUAUAUAUAUGUAUAUAUGUAUAUAUAUAUAAAAGUCAAUUUGAGCCCGACGAGAAUCAUCAUACGAUAACAACGCAUUUUCUUCGUGUCUCUCGAGAAUCCUCAUCAACCCCUGAGGAAUUCCGUAACUGGAAGAGAAACGAAAGAUCCGAUCUCUUUAUUAAGAGUGUAUCUACCAAAUGAAGUUCGAAAAUCGUUAAUUCCUAUCAAGGGGAUCUCCUUAGACGGGACGAAUCCCUGGCUAUGGGUUCGAACUCAAAAAUGUUCGAGACGGGAGAAAGCCCAACUCGAUAUACGGGCAAUCUUCCUUGUUAGGAUGAAGGAUGAACAGGGAGGGGGGGUGAAGAGAAGGCGAACGAACGAAGAGACUUUUUUAGCCUACCAAACUUAGAAUGUUUCUCCAUAACGUGCGUGCACCUGGUGUUACUUAGAGACUUCUGGUUUUGGGAUAACAACACCAACGACCAUACUUCCAUCUUGCUAUGCCUAUCUCGGGACACUGAUGCGUGGUGUCUUCCAUGUCCUUUGAUCAUCAUAAAUGACCGACAACGAAGAAAAUCGAACGAACGUACGAAAAGAAUUUUCUUAGAAAUGUUUCAAAACUUUUAAAAAGAUAGAGCUAGAAAGAGACAGAUAGAUAGAGAGAAAGAUAGAGCGAGAAAGAGAGAGAGAGAGAGAGAGAGAGAUGGUGAUGAUCACAUUAAAAAGUCCGAUAUUAUAAUUAAAUUUAAAUUAAAAACGAUUCCCACUUUAUUACUUUUCGUAAUAUCACUUGACUUUUCGUAAUAUCAAAAAAAAAAAAAAAAAAAAAAAAAACUAACUGGAUAGAUCUUCAGUCUGUAAUGCGUUAACAUAAGUCAUUUAUAUUACAAAAGGAAUAAGAGAGAAGGAAAAAUAGACAAAGAGAAUAUUAUCUGAAAGUAUAAAUUAAAAAUAAUUCAAUUUUACAUAUUACUUUUAAUAACAAUAUUUUAUUAGAGAAAAAAAAUAAGUCGAUAAGUUUCAACAAUAUGUUGAACAAACUGUAAACAUCGAGUUAUUUUACAGAAAAAGAGAGAGAAAGAUAUAUAUAUAUAUAUAAGACAAGGUAUCGUUACUUGAUUACACGAAGGAGACAAAAGAAAGGAAGAGAGAAAGAGAGAAAGAGAGAGAGAAAAAGAGAGAGAGAGAGAGAGAGAGAGAGAAGGCACGCGUGUCGCGCGUACAACAAGGCCCAGAAGGGAACAUGAAUGAAGCUCCCAUUCAUGCCCUCAGAGCCCUACCUACUUGUAUCUACUUCAGCCCUUGUUUGUACCGUCUAUGGGAGCUUGCUUGAGACGGCAGAACGACGUCGUCGUCGUCGUCGUCGUCUUCUUCGUCGUCGUUGGCGCCGUUGCUGCUUAUGCGCUCGCGCUCACGUUUAUUCGCCAAGAGAAAAGAAAGAAAGAAAGAAAGAAAGAAAUAAGUACGUAAGUAAGUAAGUAAGUAAGUAAGUAAGUGAGUAUAUACGUACGUAGAAAGAGGCACGCACGCAUGCACUCACGCACGCAUUGGUGCUUUUACGUCAGCCGGUCAUGUCGCGACAAAACGUGUAUAUAUACAUACUUACGUGUGUGUGUAUAUAUAUAUGUGUGUAUGUUUGUGUGUAUGUGUACGCGUGUAUGUGUUUGUAUAUCUGUGUUUCACGAAGCGCCGGUGUACACGUGAUCGCCAUUGUUGAUCGCUUCGCAGCGCCAGGUUGGCGCGUUAUUCCGACUUUUUGCGAGCGGAGCUACCGUAUACUCGUUUCCUUCGGCUCGUGUGCCGCGGAGAGAUAUCCGCGAAUAGGAAGAAGAUGAAGGAGGAGAAGAAGAAGGAAGGGAAGGAAAAGAAGGUGGAGAAGAAGAAGAAGAAGUUGCUUCUCUCCAUUCAUCGAUGUACUCGCAAGAUUCUGUUAUCUUUGCGAAGAUCAUCCGAUCGGAGACCGAGAUCGAGACCGAGAUCGAGAUCGAGAUCGAGAUCUAGACCAAGAUCGAGACUGGGAUGGCAAGAUGAAAUGAAAGGAAUAAGAAAUAUAUUAAAAAAAAAAAAAAAAAAAAAGCGACACAAUGAUAUGAGAUUUGAUUGUUACAAGCAUAUAAAGGACUCAGAUAAAGUCGCAAGAAACGUUGAUUUUGUUCCGUAAAUCUUGUCGAUUCGAUUUUGGUUUCGACUUUGCUCGAUAACGUAGCAUGGAAAUUAAAAUGGCAGUUGAAACGAUUUAUCGUUAUGUUAUACGUGUUGUAAGCGAACGACGGAACAUCGAUAAGGUGAAAUUAUGUUUGAAGUUAAAUCGGAAAGAAAAAGAAAAAGAAAAAGAAAAAGAUGUAGCACAAGAAGGACAAGAAGAAAAAAAAAAGAGGAAAGGAGGAACUUUCCGUUUCUCUUCCUGAAAAAAAUGACUUCAUCCACAUACGAUUUCAAGGAGCUCGUUGGAGGUCAAAUAGACAUUCGUAAUCGCGAAUGCAUGAAGAAGCUUCGAAAUAACAGCUGUUCUUAUCUCGCUUGUAUCGAUCAAGAUUAGCUUCGAGCGGAUGGAUACGUACCAGUUACUAGAGACAUAGACAAAAAAAAUUGUGAACCUGCGUCGAAGCGUAUAGCCAUUCACGAGAUUAGCUUAGUUGCGUGACUGUUCGAGCGUGAUAUUCGAAAGUGCCGGACGAAGUAAUCGAAUCUUGGAAGUUC